This 319-nucleotide unclassified non-coding RNA is filed under the name uncultured fungus. RNAcentral describes it as "partial contains 5.8S ribosomal RNA, internal transcribed spacer 2, and large subunit ribosomal RNA". The record is from RNAcentral. Lineage: Eukaryota; Fungi.
AACGCAUAUGGCACCCGAGACCUCGGUCGAGGGUAUGUCUGCCUCAGAGUCGGCGUAAUACAACUCCCCGCUGGGCGAAACGUUUCGCCCAGCGGGGGAACUGACCUUUCCGCGGCGCUGCCGCGGGUCGGUCGAAGGAUAGAAACGGGCGUCGCCGGCCGGGAGCCCUCCCUGGCUACCGAGAUUUGCUGGAUUACCAUCUCUAUCUCGGUCCAAGGUUGCAGGCACCGUCGCACACGACCCGCACUGCAGGAAAACGGGGCCUUUGGGCCCCCUUGCAUCCGACCUGAGUUCAGGCAAGAUCACCCGCUGAACUUAA